GCCCAGGUGACUCAGUCAGUUAAGUGUCUGACUUCCACUCAGGUCAUGAUCUCAGGGUCCUGGGAUCGAGCCCCACUUUGGGCU
This 84-nucleotide transfer RNA is filed under the name Ailuropoda melanoleuca (giant panda). It matches the Rfam family "tRNA". From Rfam's summary of the family: Transfer RNA (tRNA) molecules are approximately 80 nucleotides in length. Lineage: Eukaryota; Metazoa; Chordata; Mammalia; Carnivora; Ursidae. The record is from Rfam by way of RNAcentral.